CUACGGGCGGCUCCAGUAGGGAAUCUUAGACAAUGGGGGAAACCCUGAUCUAGCCAUGCCGCGUGAGUGAUGAAGGCCUUAGGGUUGUAAAGCUCUUUCGCUGGGGAAGAUAAUGACGGUACCCAGUAAAGAAACCCCGGCUAACUCCGUGCCAGCAGCCGCGGUAAUACGGAGGGGGUUAGCGUUGUUCGGAAUUACUGGGCGUAAAGCGCGCGUAGGCGGGCUAUUAAGUCAGGGGUGAAAUCCCGGGGCUCAACCCCGGAACUGCCUUUGAUACUGGUAGUCUUGAGUUCGUGAGAGGUGAGUGGAAUUCCGAGUGUAGAGGUGAAAUUCGUAGAUAUUCGGAGGAACAUCAGUGGCGAAGGCGACUCACUGGCUCGAUACUGACGCUGAGGUGCGAAAGUGUGGGGGGCAAACAGGAUUAGAUACCCCAGUAGUC
Molecule: ribosomal RNA, 439 nt
Filed under: uncultured bacterium
Lineage: Bacteria
Description: partial 16S ribosomal RNA
Rfam family: Bacterial small subunit ribosomal RNA
Source: RNAcentral